RNAcentral lists this ribosomal RNA (409 nucleotides) under bacterium. Its description in RNAcentral is "partial 16S ribosomal RNA". It matches the Rfam family "Bacterial small subunit ribosomal RNA", at positions 355 to 776 of the family's 1533-position model. The record is from RNAcentral.
UGGGGAAUAUUGCACAAUGGGCGAAAGCCUGAUGCAGCGACGCCGCGUGAGGGAUGACGGCCUUCGGGUUGUAAACCUCUUUCAGCAGGGACGAAGCGCAAGUGACGGUACCUGCAGAAGAAGCACCGGCUAACUACGUGCCAGCAGCCGCGGUAAUACGUAGGGUGCAAGCGUUGUCCGGAAUUACUGGGCGUAAAGAGUUCGUAGGCGGUUUGUCGCGUCGUUUGUGAAAACCAGCAGCUCAACUGCUGGCUUGCAGGCGAUACGGGCAGACUUGAGUACUGCAGGGGAGACUGGAAUUCCUGGUGUGGCGGUGAGAUGCGCAGAUAUCAGGAGGAACACCGGUGGCGAAGGCGGGUCUCUGGGCAGUAACUGACGCUGAGGAACGAAAGCGUGGGUAGCGAACAGG